Molecule: ribosomal RNA, 459 nt
Filed under: uncultured archaeon
Lineage: Archaea
Description: partial 16S ribosomal RNA
Rfam family: Archaeal small subunit ribosomal RNA
Source: RNAcentral
CACAAGGGGUGAAGCUGCGGUUCAWUNGGAGUCACGCCGNGGAAUCUUACCGGGGGCGACAGCAGAUGUGAAGGUCAAGCUGAAGACUUUACCAGACAAGCUGAGAGGAGGUGCAUGGCCGUCGCCAGCUCGUGCCGUGAGGUGUCCUGUUAAGUCAGGUAACGAGCGAGAUCCCUACCUCUAGUUGCUACUGNUAUUCUCUGGAGUAGUARAGCUAAUUAGAGGGACCGCCGCCGCUGAGGCGGAGGAAGGAGGGGGCUACGGCAGGUCAGUAUGCCCCGAAACCCUCKGGCCACACGCGGGCUGCAAUGGUAAGGACAAUGGGUUCCUAUUCCGAAAGAGAGGAGGCAAUCCCUAAACCUUACCCCAGUUAUGAUUGAGGGCUGAAACUCGCCCUCAUGAAUAUGGAAUCCCUAGUAACCGNNNGNNNUCNUCGCNCGNNGAAUACNUCCCUGNUCC